CAGUAGCCGCGGUAAUACGAAGGGUGCAAGCGUUAAUCGGAAUUACUGGGCGUAAAGCGCGCGUAGGUGGUUCAUUAGGUUGGAUGUGAAAGCCCUGGGCUCAACCUGGGAACUGCAUCCAAAACUGGUGAGCUAGAGUACGGUAGAGGGUAGUGGAAUUUCCUGUGUAGCGGUGAAAUGCGUAGAUAUAGGAAGGAACACCAGUGGCGAAGGCGACUACCUGGACUGAUACUGACACUGAGGUGCGAAAGCGUGGGGAGCAAACAGGAUUAGAUACCCGGGUAGUCCCUGUCUCUUAUAC
This 301-nucleotide ribosomal RNA is filed under the name uncultured bacterium. RNAcentral's name for it is "partial 16S ribosomal RNA". It matches the Rfam family "Bacterial small subunit ribosomal RNA", at positions 509 to 807 of the family's 1533-position model. The record is from RNAcentral.